AGGACGAACGCUGGCGGCGUGCCUAACACAUGCAAGUCGAACGCGCUCCAUUCGGUAGCAAUACUGAUGAAGAGUGAGUGGCGAACGGGUGAGUAACACAUGAGCAACCUGCCCCGAAGACUGGGACAACACCGGGAAACCGGUGCUAAUACCGGAUAUCCCUAUCGGACCGCAUGAUCUGAUAAGGAAAUGGAUUCCGCUUCGGGAGGGGCUCGUGGCCUAUCAGCUAGUUGGUGAGGUAACGGCUCACCAAGGCAUCGACGGGUAGCUGGUCUGAGAGGACGAUCAGCCACACUGGGACUGAGACACGGCCCAGACUCCUACGGGAGGCAGCAGUGGGGAAUCUUGCGCAAUGGGCGAAAGCCUGACGCAGCAACGCCGCGUGGAGGACGAAGGCUUUCUGAGUUGUAAACUCCUUUCAGCAGGGACGAUAGUGACGGUACCUGCAGAAGAGCACCGGCAACUACGCGCCAGCAGCCGG
RNAcentral lists this ribosomal RNA (481 nucleotides) under uncultured bacterium. RNAcentral's name for it is "SSU rRNA". It matches the Rfam family "Bacterial small subunit ribosomal RNA", at positions 26 to 518 of the family's 1533-position model. The record is from RNAcentral.